This 429-nucleotide ribosomal RNA is filed under the name Actinomycetes bacterium. RNAcentral describes it as "Actinobacteria bacterium partial 16S ribosomal RNA". It matches the Rfam family "Bacterial small subunit ribosomal RNA", at positions 355 to 776 of the family's 1533-position model. The record is from RNAcentral. Lineage: Bacteria; Bacillati; Actinomycetota; Actinomycetes.
UAGGGAAUCUUCCGCAAUGGGCGAAAGCCUGACGGAGCAACGCCGCGUGAGUGAUGAAGGUCUUCGGAUCGUAAAACUCUGUUAUUAGGGAAGAACAAAUGUGUAAGUAACUAUGCACGUCUUGACGGUACCUAAUCAGAAAGCCACGGCUAACUACGUGCCAGCAGCCGCGGUAAUACGUAGGUGGCAAGCGUUAUCCGGAAUUAUUGGGCGUAAAGCGCGCGUAGGCGGUUUUUUAAGUCUGAUGUGAAAGCCCACGGCUCAACCGUGGAGGGUCAUUGGAAACUGGAAAACUUGAGUGCAGAAGAGGAAAGUGGAAUUCCAUGUGUAGCGGUGAAAUGCGCAGAGAUAUGGAGGAACACCAGUGGCGAAGGCGACUUUCUGGACUGUAACUGACGCUGAUGUGCGAAAGCGUGGGGAUCAAACAGG